This is a non-coding RNA of Nothobranchius furzeri (turquoise killifish), 5926 nucleotides long. NCBI's taxonomy places the organism in Eukaryota, Metazoa, Chordata, Actinopteri, Cyprinodontiformes, Nothobranchiidae. The record is from RefSeq and is a predicted model, not a curated record.
UUUGCUUGUAUCUUUUACAUGGCGCACCGUUUGACACCCCCUACUUGGGUCUCGCUUUUGAAGAACUUGCUUAAAGAGCAAGUAACGUCUAAAUUAACUUUUUUUUGCUGAUGAACUGUAUAAAUGAGUGUCUAAUAGUGUUUUAAAUGUGUGCAUUCUUUAUUUUAGCAUUUUGGUGCAUUUUCUUUAAAAAUUAAAAAUUCUGUCUAAAAACCACAGUAAUGCGCCACCUUCAGCUGAAAACAUAGAAUUUGAGUCAUUUUGAAUAAAUUUUAGCCAAUGGCUAAAGAGUAAAGUACUACGUAAACCAGUAGAGUACUACGUAGCAGCUCCGUGCCAAAGUUAUAAAAGCAACGAGCGUCUCGGCCACGCCCUGUGGCGAGUGGGAGUUGGAUUUGCAAGCGAGCGUAGGAGGUCAGCGGUAGUUCAGCAUUAGCAUAUAGCAUUAGCAUAUCUUAGUCUUUAGCAUAUCUUUUAGUGUUAUAAAUACUUAUUUAGUGUUAGCUUGGCUGUGGGAUAUUGUAGUUUAGUUAGUGUUUGGCUGUUAGUGUAAUUGGGAAAGUAUUUCGGGUUUAGUGUUCCAUAUCGUCUUAGUAUUGGUGAGAUGGUGUAAUGUAGUAUGCUUGCGGUGACUCUGUGGGCAUUUUACCCGUGAUUCUGCACGUCUCCGUUUGAAGAGGGAGGCUGCCCACCGUGGUUCUUCCGCGAUUUAGAUGCAACCCACCGACUCUGCUCCCCCACCCGGCGGGCUCCAGUCUGAGGUGAGUAAGCUAAAUAAACGUUUUAACAUCUUCUAAAGACAAUUCCCUACCUAAAUGCAAAGUCUGAGAGACGUGGUUCACUUCCUUUAGCUAGUCAGUCGGCAAUUCUGCAACAGUGUCUCUAACUGACGCAGCACUAGUUGACAGACAGCAUUACAGCGUGAAAUCCAGCUUGUGACCCGAUUCUGUAAGGAAUUCUAUUCAGGAGGUCACAUUUCAGGCUCUCCACAUCAUGUGUGACUGACUUUUACGUUAUAACAACGAUCACACACUAGGAAUGUUAUAAAGUGCCUAUAUAGGAUAUUCUUUUGUAUAUUAUCUGACUUUAUAAACUCCCAACAACAAUGUGCUUAUAUAUUUUUUUUCAGGCUAAAUCUACCCAAGACACUGGCUGUCAGACUGAUUUAGCUGCAAGAAUGCACUUGUCCAGGCUGAUGUGAAACCUUCCCUGUAGCAAAGCCAGCCAGAAUGGAGUUCACAGCCGCAGUGUGUCUGGUGACCCACAGGGACCAUGAUGGAAAUUCAUCUUCCAGAAAGUCCCAGAGCAGCGGCCACACCCCCUGAAAAGACCAAGAUGUGAGGUGUCUGCUGUUGAUUCCAGCUUCCACCUCAGUGACAGUGCAAGCUCAGUGAACUGUUCAAGGAGGCUACUGAUUCUGCCCCUGUGACACUUGGUGGUGACGUGUGAGCUGAUUCACCUGGAAAAUAACUUUUACAUUAAAUAUUUUGUUUUUGCUAUCAAAAGUAAUUUAACUAAUAACCUGCAUUAUUGCAGGACACUCAGCAAAAUAUGGACUCUACACCAUGAGGCAGGCACACAUUAAUAUUCUAUAAGAGCACAUAAGGUGAGCAACACCACAUAUUGUACACUGUCCUGAAUUUGUUUUCUUUCUGCAUCUCAUCAUUAGCCUGGCUGAUCACCUGAUAACUCCUGUCAUCUGGUUAUGACAGCAUGAGGAUGUCCUCACACACAUGUAACCUAUCAGCUCAUCUGGCAGAAUAGAGAGAGAAGAGACAACACCACAUCUCCUGUUCCUGGAAAGCCUUCAGCCAUCCUUCGAUGACUGAGAACCUCCAUCAGCUCUGUCUCCUGUCUGCCUACAAUUAUUAUAAUAAAUAUUGUGUUUGACAAGUUUUUUGUGCUGCCAAAUAUCUCAUUUAGAUUCCAGUUUUGAUAUUUUAAUGGAUAUUUAUAAAUUACAUUGAUUAUCACAUUUUUGUUGCAUGUUUAACUAGCUCUAUUGUGAUGAAUUAAACUAGCACCUCACUGUUAAAAGCUCGUUUUAAUUUCAAGCAUGUUUAAGUAUUUAUGGACAUGAACAAAAACAGGAAAUAUAUAAAUUGAGAUUUAUUUAAUUAAUAUAACAAAUAAGGGGGAAAGAGUCAUUGAAAGGCACAUUCUUCUGGAAGCUCCUGAUCCUGACGACACCAGACCAGCUGCAGACACCAGAGGACCUAGAACCGAGAGAGCAGCUGUUAUUAGUAAAUAAAUAAAGAAAUCAGGGCAGUUUUAGUGGGCUGAACACAUUACAGAAUAAUUUUCUCAUGGGGUAUUUUCAUAACUUUAUAUGCAGCAGACUGUAACUUGAGCCCAGGGCUACCGGAGAGCUGCUAUCCAGCAUGUUUCAGUGGAUUUUCCUGCUUUAACAGGUUAGAUUAGCUGUUAAGCAGCUCAGCUAUUUGUUGCUGAUUAAAACCAGGUGUGCUGAAGCAGAUAAACCUCUAAAACAUGCUGAAUACUAGCUUUUUAGAGCCGUGGAGCCAAACACUGCAGCUAAUCCAAUGCUAUGGCUAACGGCUACUUACCUUUCAGAGGUGGUUCUGUUGGGUCGGUUCUGGGAGUUUCAGGCAACUCACACGCUCAAAACAAUAAGACUCAGGUCCGCUUGUCUCCUCCAAAUAGACUUGGUCCCUUUCUUCUCGAGUGUCUGGGUAAGGAGGGGGAGAAACGUCCUCCACUUCUAAUAACUGCUCAGAGUGAAGGGAGCUAGCUUCGUCUAGUUAGCCAUCGUCUUCGUCACUGCCGCGGCUCCGCCCUCUCGGUCCUCCAGGCAACGCCUACUAAUGUUGCAUUUUUUAAAAUUGAUACGUGGGUGGAGAAGGACUCCGAGGCUCGAUUGACCUGCUCUUUAAUUUCUGCAUAAAUAACAGACAGAUUGUAGGUCCGAUAAUUUUGUUCCAGUUAAAAAGAGUUAUGCUCAAUAAAGAGCAUUUUUAUCAAAAACCUCACAUCCUAAAAACUUCUAUGAAUCUAACUAUAAUUUGUUUAAAUAAAAAUUUUACAAGUUUGUCUAAAUCAUCCAGUAUUUUAGCUCUAAUCUAAACUUCUGCCCCAGCUGAGCUACACUCUACCCGUUUUUCCUAGUCGCAUAGCAACGGCAUCUUCUACACACUGGAUAGGUUUGGUACUGCUUGUCAAAUCUGAGGCCCCCACGGAGGCCAAGUUCUGGCGUGAUCUUAUCGACGUAUUUGUCUCAUAGUGGACCAGAUCCAGGUGAUUGAACUCCUCGUAGACCUGAAUACUCAGGAGGCACUGCAGACUACAGCUCCAUGUUCGUGUCGAGAAACUCGACUCUUUGAAUGAAUUCUUUCAGAUGUCUUCUUCCUUAUUCUCUCCCUCCCUUCCGCCUGCAAACUGACACACUUUCUUCUAAUUCAUCGGCAGCAUGGUGAGGGAUGGAUAGAGCGUGGGAGCGAGUGGGAUUGAUGAAGAAAGAAAGAAAAAAAGAAAGAAAGAAAAAGUCUGUUUUGGCAUCAAAAGGCUGUCUCAGGGACUCGGGGGAAUACAUUGACUUUUCGAUGGGCUUUUUGAUUAUGUUUUUUCUGAUUUAUUAACUCGAUACACAGCAGCUGCAUUAGAAGUGUACUCUCAAAUGUCCUCAUUGCAAUAAUUAUAUUGCACACAGUCUAACUCGUCUCCUAUAAUAAUUAACCAUUAUUUCAUAACGUUUCUUGGCACUAGGACACGGUAUUUUGAUGGCUCAUCUUUCGUAGUGCAAAUUUGAGGAUGACUAACUUUUCUCGAAGAGGCCAUUGCAUCUCCCCAAGUCAUUAAACAUUUAAAGGGCUAUUCCCCAAGUGUUCAAUGCUGCAGAGAAUAACGCACCCCAUUAUAUGUGACCCAGAAACAACUUGCUCCUAUCUCGAUUCCCAUCUCCUUGCUGCAGUAAUUAUUAAGAGGAAAAACAAGCUCUUUAGAGACAGAUUAAAGAGAAUACCGUCUCCCUCUCGUCAUAAUGCUGUUUUGCUUUGUCAAAACAGAGGGGGGUUAGGGUUAGCUGGAGUUAGGGUCAGCGUGAGCUGGAUAUAUGUUUAAUUGAACAUGACUUCAUUCCUGCAUCUGCACUUGUUUGGAUAAUUUGAAUAAAUCAUCAUUUGCUAAAUUCACACAAAUGUGAUGGAUCAGAGAAUUACUGUCUCACAGUUAUUGCACAUAGUGAAUGCAUGUCAUCGUUUUCUGUUUAGCUGCUUCACUGAUGACUUUAGUCGGUUGAGAUUAAUCAAAAUCUUUCCUGAUUGAGAUGAAAUUAGGAUUGGCCUUAAUACUAAAUUAGCCUAGGACUGCAUGGAGAUGGGUGAUUCUCUGUGGCAACCCCUGAAGGGAAAAGCCAAAAGGAAAAGAAGAUUGUUCACAAGGUGGCGUAUCAGAUUCCUGGUGAAUGCAGUCUUUUCCAUCAUGUUAAAGGCUCAAUAUGCACACAUUACAAAUGGCUGUUGCAUUGUCUUUGCUGUCCGGUUCAAAAUACCACCAAAGUGCAGACAUUUUCUCUCUCCUGAGGUGACACGUUAGCACUGUAUUAGCUUGCUAGCUAACAGCUACAUGUCAUGGGGUGUUUCUUAAUGUCAAGGCGCCUGGCCUUGCGAGGCGAUGGCUUGCGAGGCUAGGCGACUUGCUUACGAGGACACUGCCCUUCCUUGGUCAAAGAAAAUGGUUAAAUGGAACAGACUUGCAUCACGUGACCGCAGCUUCCACGGCGGUCACGUAAUGUCACGUGACACAGGAGAUAACAUUAUAUUUUAUACGUAUUAGUUUCAAUAUAAAUAUAUAACAAGACCUUUACUUUUCAAAUUGUGUUUAUAUUUGUUAAAUUAAAUAUAUAAGCGAGUUACUACUCGCUAACCACCGAAGCUGCAACUACUAAGCAACUAACCAACCAUAGAUAACUUCUUUGGAUCUAAAAAAAUACAUUUUAAAUUAGUUGACUUACUUUUAAACAUGAAAUUUGCCCCAGAAGUAGCUGCCAGCUUCUGAUCCGCCAUCCUUUUGAAAAUACCGUGGUGUAAUCUGGGUCAUUUUUGACCAAGGUUAGGCUACAAGACAUCCCCCGUGUAUCCUUGCUCAGCUAGCUAAACAACUAACAAACUGAGAACACUCGCCUUGGUAGAACAUGAACAUUGGAACACGUCUUGGCGGCUCCCGAUGACGUAUCUCCUAGGCAACCGGGGUGGGGCCAAGACAUCAAGGUGAGGUUCCUUGGCAUUGAGAAACACCCAUGGUCUCUGAAUUCCCAGCUUGCCGUGUAACUAAGCAGUUCUGACUUGCUUUUAGCACCCCUUAGUGUCUGUUUGCCAAACCAAAAGAAAGACCUCCUCUCCUCGCUGUGCUUUUGUCUUUUUAACACCUUAAUCUAACAGCUGAAAUGUCUCCUUGCAGACCGGACAGGCAACUCUGAAGUUGCAAGUGGAAUUUUUUGGCCACAGGGGGCGAUAGGGACUGGGUGGUGUUUAAUUACCCCGUAAAGGAUCGUUUUAGCACAUACUGGCUCGAGAAAAUGUUUUAAAAAUGCGAAAAGGUUGCAAAGUAUCCUUUUAAGGUGUUCAAAGAAACAAUGAAUAUUGAUGUAGUGGAUUUUGCUAAAAUGUGUGAUCUGUGUAAUUUUAUUGAUUAGUUUUGAUUGGAUUAACAAGCUAAUGGCUGACCUGAUUGUGAACAAGACCAAAGUAGAUGGUUACGACAAUCUACAAAAGCAAUUUUAAAAACUUUUACAUUGAUACAAUGUUUACCUCACUGGGUUAUAUACUAGCAUUUUGUGUUGUGUUUUGUAAAUUGCUGCAGCGGUUAGCUUUAGCAUUUCCUGUUUCAUGUGAAGCACUUUGAAUGGGAAUACAAAAUAUGUCCACCAGAUUAAUGGGCCAUUCCCAUCUGUACCGGGUCGGCCCGGGCC